UGCUAUAAGAAUAGGAUGAAUAUGGAGAUGGGCUCCUAUCCCUUCGGUUCCUCCUGCUAUACCUAUGCACCACUGGCGAUGGUGAAUGCCUUCGCCUGUAUGAGGGUGACCGCGAUCGCGACAAAUCUCUAGGCAUUUUCUAUAAAUUGACUACACAAAGUAUCUGAGAUCCAGAUGAAUUUUGCUCAAUAUCCAGCUUCAACAGCAAAAAAAAAUUUCGUUCUAUCUCAAAAUAAAUCNAAAUCUCAUCAAAUAUCCAAACUUGACAAGCGACCCACCGUUUCACCAAAUCAAAUUAC
Molecule: unclassified non-coding RNA, 299 nt
Filed under: Hevea brasiliensis (rubber tree)
Lineage: Eukaryota; Viridiplantae; Streptophyta; Magnoliopsida; Malpighiales; Euphorbiaceae
Source: RNAcentral